Erinaceus europaeus (western European hedgehog) is the source of this 128-nucleotide small nucleolar RNA. NCBI's taxonomy places the organism in Eukaryota, Metazoa, Chordata, Mammalia, Eulipotyphla, Erinaceidae. The record is from Ensembl.
UGGCAUGCCACCUUUGAGCCUACAGCACCUGUAGUGGUGCCGGGGGUCAGGCUGCAGUGCCAGAGCAGCUGCUCGUGAUAACUGGGGCUCCAUGCUGCUGGCUGCCCUUUUAGCCAUGAGCCACAUGG